This 1217-nucleotide long non-coding RNA is filed under the name Callithrix jacchus (white-tufted-ear marmoset). RNAcentral describes it as "lncRNA (ENSCJAG00000070635.1)". The record is from RNAcentral. Lineage: Eukaryota; Metazoa; Chordata; Mammalia; Primates; Cebidae.
CUUUUGUUCUUAUUGAUGUAUAAUAAAUGCACAUAUUGGUGGGGUAUAUGUGAUAUUUUGAUACAGUUGUAUUCUAAGUUUUGUUCUCCUCUACUAGAGUGGAAAUUUCAUGAAAGUAAAAGUUGCGGCUCUCUGGGAAUGCCAUUGUAUCUCUUCCAUUUAACACAUUAUCAGAUGCAAAGAGGACCCUCAGAUUUGACUCUGGAAGGUUGCUCUUUGGAAGCCUGGGAUUAAGGAUAAAGACGGCAACAACAGAAUAGCAGAAAACAGAUUCAAAAGAAAAUGGUUCCUGCAAUGCUGACUUCUUUAAGACCAGUGAAUAUCAGAAUGAUGUAAGCUUUUUCACGUAGGAGGGGCAGACUUUAAAUCACCUGUCAGGUAACUCUUUAGUAGGCAGAAUACACCAAUUAGGUUUCUUUUUCUCAUUUGUUGUCUUUCUACCUUUAUGCUGUUUGGCUUAUUCUCCAAUGAGUACUUUCAAGCUAAGUUUGUUAAAACACAUAUUUGACAGAACGUUGGACCAUUGCAAAUUCUGCAGAGUGAGCAGGCACUUCUUUCUGCUGGAAGAUAGGAUAGACUUGCUUAAAGCAAAUAUUGAUUUAAAAAAAAAGCUAACCUCAGUGCAUUAUUAGUCUUGGUACUGGAUUGGAACAGUAUUUUGCUAAUUAGAUGGAUUUUGAUGCUUCAUUCCCUCCUGCAAGGGUGCUUCCACUCAGAAAACAGAAAUCAGGAGCAGGGGAUGGAACACACUCUUUGGAUAAAAAUAAAAACAAUGCUCCAAUAUUGAAGAGAAAACAAAAUGAUAGAGCCAGGAAGCAGCUCAGCAAAGCCAUUUCCAUGCUUAUUGCUAUUUGAAGGCAUAAUGAUUGAAGUUAUUGUCUUAAUGUAAGAUUACUAAAUAAUGCAUCCCAUAAAAGAAAGACAUUGUAUUGGCCAUAAAACGUGUGUAACUGCAACAGAAUUCAUACUUAUUUAAUGACACUUUAGAGUCGGAUGGUAAUUAAAAUGAAGUAGGAAUUUUUUAAAGGCAAGAGAAAUUCAAAUAUACCAGCAUAUAAAUCGAAACAUUUUCUUUGUUUUGCAAGCACAUAAAGAAGUAAGUUUCCCAUGGUUUUUCUGUUUUCCGUUUUUGACCCACUGGGAACAGCACAAUUUUGACUCCUCGGUAUUUCUACUUCUAAUUGCUAGGAGGGUUCAUUAUCAGCUGUCUAAAGUGC